Non-coding RNA from Mannheimia haemolytica PHL213, 149 nucleotides. NCBI's taxonomy places the organism in Bacteria, Pseudomonadati, Pseudomonadota, Gammaproteobacteria, Pasteurellales, Pasteurellaceae. The record is from Rfam.
CCUGUUAUAUGGCUAACAGUAGUCUAGGGAUAGUGCGACACCGGUAACGGUGUGGUGCGGAGCUUCCUGACAAUGAACCCCUGAUGAAAAUCAGUCAAUGAAAUCGUGAGAGGACAUUGGGAGAAAGUGAAUAGCACACCUUCAAGGGG